This 514-nucleotide ribosomal RNA is filed under the name uncultured bacterium. RNAcentral's name for it is "bacterial SSU rRNA". It matches the Rfam family "Bacterial small subunit ribosomal RNA", at positions 404 to 918 of the family's 1533-position model. The record is from RNAcentral.
GAGGAAGAAGGCGCUAUGCGUUGUAAACUUCUUUUUCGGAGGAAUAAAAUUUCGUACGUGUACGGGACUGAAGGUACUCCGGGAAUAAGCAUCGGCUAACUCCGUGCCAGCAGCCGCGGUAAUACGGAGGAUGCAAGCGUUAUCCGGAUUUAUUGGGUUUAAAGGGUGCGUAGGCGGACUAAUAAGUCAGUGGUGAAAACCUUCAGCUUAACUGGAGACUUGCCAUUGAUACUGUCAGUCUUGAGUAUGGUUAAGGUAGGCGGAAUGUGUAAUGUAGCGGCGAAAUGCUUAGAUAUUACACAGAACACCGAUUGCGAAGGCAGCUUACUGAGCCAUAACUGACGCUGAUGCACGAAAGCGUGGGGAGCGAACAGGAUUAGAUACCCUGGUAGUCCACGCCGUAAACGAUGAUCACUCGCUGUUGGCGAUACACAGUCAGCGGCUAAGCAAAAGCAUUAAGUGAUCCACCUGGGGAGUACGGCCGCAAGGCUGAAACUCAAAGGAAUUGACGGGG